Molecule: non-coding RNA, 23 nt
Filed under: Cricetulus griseus (Chinese hamster)
Lineage: Eukaryota; Metazoa; Chordata; Mammalia; Rodentia; Cricetidae
Source: RNAcentral
CAAAAGUAUCUGUAAAAUCCAUG